AUUGAACGCUGGCGGCAGGCCUAACACAUGCAAGUCGAACGGUAACAGGAAGCAGCUUGCUGCUUUGCUGACGAGUGGCGGACGGGUGAGUAAUGUCUGGGAAACUGCCUGAUGGAGGGGGAUAACUACUGGAAACGGUAGCUAAUACCGCAUAACGUCGCAAGACCAAAGAGGGGGACCUUCGGGCCUCUUGCCAUCGGAUGUGCCCAGAUGGGAUUAGCUAGUAGGUGGGGUAACGGCUCACCUAGGCGACGAUCCCUAGCUGGUCUGAGAGGAUGACCAGCCACACUGGAACUGAGACACGGUCCAGACUCCUACGGGAGGCAGCAGUGGGGAAUAUUGCACAAAGGGCGCAAGCCUGAUGCAGCCAUGCCACGUGUAUGAAGAAGGCCUUCGGGUUGUAAAGUACUUUCAGCGGGGAGGAAGGGAGUAAAGUUAAUACCUUUGCUCAUUGACGUUACCCGCAGAAGAAGCACCGGCUAACUCCGUG
Molecule: ribosomal RNA, 490 nt
Filed under: uncultured bacterium
Lineage: Bacteria
Description: partial 16S ribosomal RNA
Rfam family: Bacterial small subunit ribosomal RNA
Source: RNAcentral